This 118-nucleotide ribosomal RNA is filed under the name Vibrio vulnificus YJ016. The record is from RNAcentral. Lineage: Bacteria; Pseudomonadati; Pseudomonadota; Gammaproteobacteria; Vibrionales; Vibrionaceae.
UGCUUGGCGACCAUAGCGUUUUGGACCCACCUGAAUCCAUUCCGAACUCAGAAGUGAAACGAAAUAGCGUCGAUGGUAGUGUGGGGUUUCCCCAUGUGAGAGUAGAACAUCGCCAGGC